RNAcentral lists this transfer RNA (76 nucleotides) under Candidatus Gracilibacteria bacterium CG17_big_fil_post_rev_8_21_14_2_50_48_13. Its description in RNAcentral is "tRNA-Gly". It matches the Rfam family "tRNA". Rfam says of the family: Transfer RNA (tRNA) molecules are approximately 80 nucleotides in length. The record is from RNAcentral. Lineage: Bacteria; Candidatus Altimarinota.
GCGGGUAUAGUUCAAUUGGCUAGAAUAACAGCCUUCCAAGCUGUGUAUACGGGUUCGAGUCCCGUUACCCGCUCCA